This 253-nucleotide ribosomal RNA is filed under the name uncultured bacterium. Its description in RNAcentral is "partial 16S ribosomal RNA". It matches the Rfam family "Bacterial small subunit ribosomal RNA", at positions 524 to 776 of the family's 1533-position model. The record is from RNAcentral.
UACAGAGGUGGCAAGCGUUGUUCGGAAUUACUGGGCGUAAAGGGCGCGUAGGCGGCCUUGUAAGUCCUGUGUGAAAUCCCCCGGCUCAACUGGGGAACUGCACAGGAGACUGCUUGGCUUGAGUUCGGGAGAGGGAAGCGGAAUUCCCGGUGUAGUGGUGAAAUGCGUAGAUAUCGGGAGGAACACCAGUGGCGAAGGCGACUACCUGGCCUGUUCUUGACGCUGAGGCGCGAAAGCUAGGGGAGCAAACGGG